RNAcentral lists this long non-coding RNA (625 nucleotides) under Rattus norvegicus (Norway rat). RNAcentral's name for it is "long non-coding RNA NONRATT032520". The record is from RNAcentral. Lineage: Eukaryota; Metazoa; Chordata; Mammalia; Rodentia; Muridae.
GGCAGUUACAAGCUAAGACAUGUUUUCCCAUCUUCACAAGCGAUCUGGGAGGGGGAACAUCGAUUGUGGAGAGACUAGAGUGAAGGAGUCUAGCCUUUCGUCUCAAAGUAAUGAUGGACAAAGACAGCGCUUCUGGGGAAUGUGGAAGCCAGCGACUCUUCUAUGGAGAGCAGCUGUGCAGGCAGGUGGUGGAGCAGAAGAAGGCGAGCUGCUGUGACAUCAUCAAGAUGCUGCCUAGCCCUGUGUCGCUGCUCUUCUGAGGAGACUGAGCCCUCUGACAAUGACUUGGAGAAGUACCAGGGUGAGGGCAUCUCAUGGCACAACAUUGACUACACCGACAAUGUGGGCUGUACCCACCUCAUCAGCAUGAAGCCCACUGGCAUCUUCUACCUGCUGGACGAGGAGAGCAAACAGUGAAUGCCGCAACACCCAGACCUUCUUCCCAGCCUGAAUGGUUAUAUCUCCACUUCCAGACAGACCUCCUCCCACAUGUAGCUGUAGAUUCCCCCAGGGCCGGGCAUCUUCCACACAUCUGGCUCUGCCUAUAUUUAGAGUGAGUUCAGGACCAACAAGGUGUGCCAAAACCCAGGGAGGUGUUGCUGUCCCUGGAGACAAAAUAGCCAGG